Molecule: ribosomal RNA, 424 nt
Filed under: uncultured bacterium
Lineage: Bacteria
Description: partial 16S ribosomal RNA
Rfam family: Bacterial small subunit ribosomal RNA
Source: RNAcentral
AAUAUUGGACAUUGGGGGGAACCCUGAUCCAGCCAUGCAGCGUGUGUGAAGAUGGUCUUCGGUUUGUAAAGCACUUUAAGUUGGGCGGAAGGGGUUGAAGAUAAUCCCUGCAAUCAUUGACGUAACCAACAGAAUAAGCACCGGCUAACUCUGUGCCAGCAGCCGCGGUAAUACAGAGGGUGCAAGCGUUAAUCUGAAUUACUGGGCGUAAAGCGCGCGUAGGUGGUUCGUUAAGUUGGAAGUGAAAGCCCCGGGCUUAACCUGGGAAUUGCUUUCAAUACUGACGAGCUAGAGUACGGUAGAGAGUAGUGGAAUUUCCUGUAUAGCGGUGAAAUGCGUAGAUAUAGGAAGGAACAUCAGUGGCGAAGGCGACUACCUGGACUGAUUCUGACACUGAGGUGCGAAAGCGUGGGGGGCAAACAGG